This is a non-coding RNA of Doryrhamphus excisus (bluestripe pipefish), 2505 nucleotides long. The record is from RefSeq and is a predicted model, not a curated record. Lineage: Eukaryota; Metazoa; Chordata; Actinopteri; Syngnathiformes; Syngnathidae.
GUCCGGAUCAUGGCGCCGACGAUCCCAAUGACGCUGUGUCAACCUGUUGGCAGCCAAGCUGAAGUAUUCUAGAGGGAAUGCCGUCUACUGUUUGUAAAACUAAGAGGCGUGAUUGUUGAAACUCUUUAUUGAAAAUGCUUUAGGAUAUAUUACAUGUAUAUUGCUUAAUUUUUUGAAGUUUUCAACGCUGUUACAGGCAUGUGUUUGGCCAGCUAUGUGGGGCGGGUUGAGCGUGAACAAGGAAGUGCGGGGAUCUCGUGCGCGCGCGCGCGCGCUGUUCUGUUGUUGCUGGCUCGUCGAAAAAAAAAGUUGACCGGAAGCAGCAGGCAACCAUCUGUCUUUCUCUGACGAAGUCAGGCCGCCCCUUACCACGGUUUGGGGCUGAAAAUAGUGACAGUUAACACCGCCACGACCGUGGAGAAGUGCCGAAGUAAACGGUUUGUCUUGCAACAGCAUCGUUUUCAUUGGCGCCAAUUUAAUUCGGUAUCGAGUCGGCGUUCCAACACCCUGACGGAGAACACUGGAGUUGCCAUGUAACUCAGACGACGCACAAGCAAUGCUACAAGAUGAAAAGCCGCUUGUCGCUUAACAGCCCGUGGGAUCCCACUGCAUCCAUCUCAACAUGAGCUCCAAAUGGGAGCGUCAUCUGAUGCCAUAGGUUCUCCAGUGGACAGUUUCACCUAUUGCACGCACAAGACGGCAUUUUCUGGCGCUUCAACCUUUUGCGUCCAUCAGCAGUCUGUCGGCCCCCGGGGAAGGACUCAUGUAAUUGUGUUGGCAGACCAUCAACAACAUGGCGUCGGCGUUCUUCACAGUUCCAGUGAGUACCAUUGGGGCCAUCAUCCGGAAGUGGAAAGAACACGGCAUUACCAUAAACCAGCCACGGCCAGGUGCUCCUCGCAAGAUUUCAGACAGAGGAGUCAAAACAAUCAUCAGAAGGGUUCUCCAACAGCCCAGGACCACUCGUGGAGAGCUUCAGAAAGACCUGGAAUCAGCAGGUACCGUUGUUUCAAAGAAAACAAUAAGUAAUGCACUCAACCGCCAUGGCCUCCAUGCACGCACACCACGCAAGACUCCAUUUUUGAAGAGGAAGCAUGUUGAAGCUCGUUUGGAGUUUGCGACACAACAUUUGGAUAAACCAUGACAUUCUGGGAGAACAUACUCUGGUCAGAUGAGACCAAAAUUGAACUCUUCGGAUGUCAUAAGACACAACAUGUUUGGAGGAAAAAUGGCACUGCACAUCACCCCCAAAACACCAUACCGACAGUCAAGUUUGGAGGUGGGAGCAUCAUGGCGUGGGGCUGUUUUUCAGCAUGUGGUACUGGUAGACUUCAUAUCAUUGAAGGAAUAAUGACUGGAGAAAAGUAUCGAGACAUUCUUGAUCAGAAUCUGCUGUCAUCUGCCAGGCUGCUGAAGAUGAAAAGAGGGUGGAUCUUUCAGCAAGACAACGAUCCCAAGCACACAGCCAAGGUAACACUCAACUGGUUGAAGAAAAAGAAAAUAAAGCUGCUAGAAUGGCCCAGUCAAUCACCAGACUUGAAUCCAAUUGAAAAUCUUUGGAAAGAACUGAAGAUCCGGGUUCACAGAAGAGACCCCCGGAACCUUGAAGAUUUGAAGGCAGUUUGUGUGGAUGAAUGGGCCAAAAUCACACCUGAGCAAUGUAUUCCACUGGUUUCUCCAUACAGGAGGCGUCUUGAGGCUGUAAUCACCAACAAAGGUUUUUGCACUAAGUAUGAAAUAAAUUUGUACUCUUUGUAAAAGCUUAAGGCUAAACCAACUGUAACACUUGUCUAUACGAGUGGAGCAUCUGUUGACAACAAUGGAAGUAUUAUUUUGCAAUAAUCUAGUCAUGUUAGUACUUACAAAUAAUGUCACACUUUGUAUAAGGAAUGUUUUCCAGUAUUUCCGGGUUACAAUCACUCCACUUGUUGUGUACUUUUUUGGAUCUUUAAAUCCAUUUGUUUCUAUCUUUAUUUUCUCUAAAAUAGUAUUUAUAGUAUUUUAAAUGCAUGUAAGUGACAACUAUAUGGCGGAAUUUCCCAAGAAGAUUAGCAGUGCUUAAAAAAACACCGCUAGAUGGCGGAAAUUCCCAAGUAUAGUUGCAGUAAUUUUAAGUGCCCACCAGAUGGCGGAAUUUCACAGUUUAAGUUGCAGUAAUUUUAAGUGGCCACCAGAUGGCGGAAUUUCACAAAUUAAGUUGCAGUAAAUUUAAGUGACCACCAGAUGGUGGAAUUUCACAGUUUAAGUUGCAGUAAUUUUAAGUGACCACCAGAUGGCGGAAUUUCACAGUUUAAGUUGCACUACUUUUAGGUGACCACUAGAUGGGGGAAUUUCACAGUUUAAGUUGCACUACUUUUAGGUGACCACUAGAUGGCGGAAUUUCCCAAGGUAAGUUGCAGUAAUUUUAAGUGACCACUAGAUGGCGGAAUUUCCCAAGGUAAGUUGCAGUAAUUUUAAGUGACCACUAGAUAGUGGCAUAGGGCUGGGGUUGGGGCUAGGGUAAGG